Peromyscus leucopus (white-footed mouse) is the source of this 347-nucleotide long non-coding RNA. RefSeq lists it as uncharacterized. The transcript has 3 exons. NCBI's taxonomy places the organism in Eukaryota, Metazoa, Chordata, Mammalia, Rodentia, Cricetidae. The record is from RefSeq and is a predicted model, not a curated record.
GUGUGCUCCACGGACGACAUGUGCCGCAGCCCGAAGCCCUCAGGCCAGCUCCCACACACUUCCAGCAGGGUCACGCUCCGGUCAAAGGGUUGAAGUUUGUUGCAAACCUCCUAUGGAAAGGUUCUAGCCACCAGAGAGAAAAGCCACACACCAAACGCAGAAUCUGGAAUAAACAAUGCUCCUCGAGACAUGAGCCCUUCCAGGUUGGUUCCCAAAAGAACUCCAUUCACAUGCUGCACAACAAUGUUUUGGUCUACAUAGAAGAUGGUGGUCCACAGGCUGUGGUGGUGGCGCAUGCCUUUAAUCCCAACACUCGGGAGGCAGAGCCAGGUGGAUAUCUGUGAGUU